AACGAACGCUGGCGGCAUGCCUAACACAUGCAAGUCGAACGAGAUCUUCGGGUCUAGUGGCGCACGGGUGCGUAACGCGUGGGAAUCUGCCCUUUGGUUCGGAAUAACAGUUGGAAACGACUGCUAAUACCGGAUGAUGACGAAAGUCCAAAGAUUUAUCGCCAGAGGAUGAGCCCGCGUAGGAUUAGCUAGUUGGUGUGGUAAAGGCGCACCAAGGCGACGAUCCUUAGCUGGUCUGAGAGGAUGAUCAGCCACACUGGGACUGAGACACGGCCCAGACUCCUACGGGAGGCAGCAGUGGGGAAUAUUGGACAAUGGGCGAAAGCCUGAUCCAGCAAUGCCGCGUGAGUGAUGAAGGCCUUAGGGUUGUAAAGCUCUUUUACCCGGGAUGAUAAUGACAGUACCGGGAGAAUAAGCUCCGGCUAACUCCGUGCCAGCCGCCGCAGUAA
RNAcentral lists this ribosomal RNA (449 nucleotides) under uncultured bacterium. Its description in RNAcentral is "partial 16S ribosomal RNA". It matches the Rfam family "Bacterial small subunit ribosomal RNA", at positions 29 to 523 of the family's 1533-position model. The record is from RNAcentral.